This 272-nucleotide ribosomal RNA is filed under the name uncultured Staphylococcus sp. RNAcentral's name for it is "partial 16S ribosomal RNA". It matches the Rfam family "Bacterial small subunit ribosomal RNA", at positions 89 to 355 of the family's 1533-position model. Lineage: Bacteria; Bacillati; Bacillota; Bacilli; Caryophanales; Staphylococcaceae. The record is from RNAcentral.
ACGUUAGCGGCGGACGGGUGAGUAACACGUGGGUAACCUACCUAUAAGACUGGGAUAACUUCGGGAAACCGGAGCUAAUACCGGAUAAUAUUUCGAACCGCAUGGUUCGAUAGUGAAAGAUGGUUUUGCUAUCACUUAUAGAUGGACCCGCGCCGUAUUAGCUAGUUGGUAAGGUAACGGCUUACCAAGGCGACGAUACGUAGCCGACCUGAGAGGGUGAUCGGCCACACUGGAACUGAGACACGGUCCAGACUCCUACGGGAGGCAGCAGC